UAGGGAAUAUUGGGCAAUGGAGGCAACUCUGACCCAGCCAUGCCGCGUGAACGAAGAAGGCGCUAUGCGUCGUAAAGUUCUUUUAGAUGGGGCGAAAAUGCGGGAUUUAUCCUGUACUGACGGUACCAUCGGAAUAAGCACCGGCUAACUCCGUGCCAGCAGCCGCGGUAAUACGGAGGGUGCGAGCGUUAUCCGGAAUCACUGGGUUUAAAGGGUGCGUAGGCGGGGCGAUAAGUCAGAGGUGAAAUCUCGUAGCUUAACUACGGAAUUGCCUUUGAUACUGUUGUUCUUGAAAUAUGUUGAGGUUGGCGGAAUGAGACAUGUAGCGGUGAAAUGCAUAGAUAUGUCUUAGAACACCGAUUGCGAAGGCAGCUGACUGGACAUUAUUUGACGCUGAGGC
This 400-nucleotide ribosomal RNA is filed under the name uncultured bacterium. Its description in RNAcentral is "bacterial SSU rRNA". It matches the Rfam family "Bacterial small subunit ribosomal RNA", at positions 355 to 752 of the family's 1533-position model. The record is from RNAcentral.